GUGAGGAAUAUUGGUCAAUGGACGAGAGUCUGAACCAGCCAAGUCGCGUGAAGGAAGACGGUUCUAUGAAUUGUAAACUUCUUUUGUGCAGGAAUAAAGUGGGUUACGUGUAACCUUUUGUAUGUACUGUACGAAUAAGGAUCGGCUAACUCCGUGCCAGCAGCCGCGGUAAUACGGAGGAUCCGAGCGUUAUCCGGAUUUAUUGGGUUUAAAGGGUGCGUAGGUGGAUUGAUAAGUCAGCGGUGAAAGUUUGCAGCUUAACUGUAAAAUUGCCGUUGAAACUGGCGGUCUUGAGUGCAAAUGAGGUAGGCGGAAUGUGUUGUGUAGCGGUGAAAUGCUUAGAUAUAACACAGAACUCCGAUUGCGAAGGCAGCUUACUGGGAUGCAACUGACACUGAUGCACGAAAGCGUGGGUAUCAAACAGGAUUAGAAACCCCAGUAGUCC
This 445-nucleotide ribosomal RNA is filed under the name uncultured bacterium. RNAcentral describes it as "partial 16S ribosomal RNA". It matches the Rfam family "Bacterial small subunit ribosomal RNA", at positions 354 to 796 of the family's 1533-position model. The record is from RNAcentral.